GGUUCUUUCUCUUCGGAGCAUCCGAGACAGGUGGUGCAUGGUUGUCGUCAGCUCGUGUCGUGAGAUGUUGGGUUAAGUCCCGCAACGAGCGCAACCCUUAUCUUCAGUAGCCAGCGAGUGAAGUCGGGCACUCUGGAGAGACUGCCGGGGAUAACCCGGAGAAAGGUGGGGAUGACGUCAAAUCAUCAUGCCCCUUAUGAUUUGGGCUACACACGUGCUACAAUGGCGUAAACAGAGGGAAGCGAGCCCGCGAGGGGGAGCGAAUCCCAAAAAUAACGUCCCAGUUCGGAUUGUAGUCUGCAACUCGACUACAUGAAGCUGGAAUCGCUAGUAAUCGCGGAUCAAAAUGCCGCGGUGAAUACGUUCCCGGGUUUGUACACCCCGA
This 385-nucleotide ribosomal RNA is filed under the name uncultured bacterium. Its description in RNAcentral is "bacterial SSU rRNA". It matches the Rfam family "Bacterial small subunit ribosomal RNA", at positions 1008 to 1393 of the family's 1533-position model. The record is from RNAcentral.